Molecule: ribosomal RNA, 373 nt
Filed under: uncultured organism
Description: partial 16S ribosomal RNA
Rfam family: Bacterial small subunit ribosomal RNA
Source: RNAcentral
GAACCGUACAAACGUUAUUCGGAAUCACUGGGUUUAAAGGGUGCGUAGGCGGCGUGACAAGUUGGGGUGUGAAAUCCCUCGGGCUCAACCGAGGAACUGCGCCCAAAACUGUCAUGCUAGAGGGAGAUAGAGGUGAGCGGAACUAAGGCUGGAGCGGUGAAAUGCGUUGAUAUCCUUAGGAACACCCGUGGCGAAAGCGGCUCACUGGAUCUCUUCUGACGCUGAGGCACGAAAGCUAGGGUAGCGAACGGGAUUAGAUACCCCGGUAGUCCUAGCUGUAAACGAUGAGCACUGGGUUGGAGUCCCCCCCAUAGGAUUCCGGCCGAAGCGAAAGUGUUAAGUGCUCCACCUGGGGAGUAUGGUCGCAAGGCUG